RNAcentral lists this ribosomal RNA (429 nucleotides) under Bacteroidota bacterium. RNAcentral's name for it is "Bacteroidetes bacterium partial 16S ribosomal RNA". It matches the Rfam family "Bacterial small subunit ribosomal RNA", at positions 355 to 776 of the family's 1533-position model. Lineage: Bacteria; Pseudomonadati; Bacteroidota. The record is from RNAcentral.
UAGGGAAUCUUCCGCAAUGGACGCAAGUCUGACGGAGCAACGCCGCGUGAGUGAAGAAGGAUUUCGGUUCGUAAAACUCUGUUGUUAGAGAAGAACAGCGCAUAGAGUAACUGUUAUGCGUGUGACGGUAUCUAACCAGAAAGCCACGGCUAACUACGUGCCAGCAGCCGCGGUAAUACGUAGGUGGCAAGCGUUGUCCGGAUUUAUUGGGCGUAAAGCGAGCGCAGGCGGUCAAUUAAGUCUGAUGUGAAAGCCCCCGGCUCAACCGGGGAGGGUAAGUGGAAACUGGUGGACUUGAGUGCAGAAGAGGAGAGGGGAAGUCCAUGUGGAGCGGUGAAAGGCGUAGAUAUAUGGAGGAACACCAGUGGCGAAGGCGACUCGCUGGUCUGUAACUGACGCGGAGGCUCGAAAGCGUGGGUAGCAAACAGG